AUUAGCUGGGGCGGCGAGUCCGACUCAUCAAUAUUUUAAGGAAUGACCCGGCCUUGGGGUCCGGAAUUGCUGCGCGGGCGGGGGC
This 85-nucleotide microRNA precursor is filed under the name Pan troglodytes (chimpanzee). RNAcentral describes it as "miRNA". The record is from RNAcentral. RNAcentral also lists the same sequence under 1 other name. Lineage: Eukaryota; Metazoa; Chordata; Mammalia; Primates; Hominidae.